This is a non-coding RNA of Triticum urartu, 195 nucleotides long. The record is from RefSeq and is a predicted model, not a curated record. Lineage: Eukaryota; Viridiplantae; Streptophyta; Magnoliopsida; Poales; Poaceae.
UCUCUCCCCGCAUGCCGCCGCAGAUUCCCCACUUUUCGCGAGCAACGUCCGUAAGUUCCAUGGCCGUUCUCCUCCUUUCUUCUAAGUUCUGGUAGUUGGGACUUGGGAGUGCCGAGUUCAUAGUAGUCGUGAUUGCAGAAUGAUCUAUCAUUAUCCCAAGUCAGGUGAGCGUAUGAACUUUUCUGAUACGUAAGG